AUUAUUGGUCAAUGGGGGCAACCCUGAUCCAGCCAUGCCGCGUGUGUGAAGAUGGUCUUAGGAUUGUAAAGAACUUUUAGUUGGGAGGAAGGGCUUUAGGUUAAUACUCUGAAGUUUUGACGUUACGAACUGAUUAUGUACCGGCGCACUCUGUUGUAGCAGCCGCGGUAAUACAGAGUGUGCAAGCGUGAAUCGGAAUUACUGGGCGUAAAGCGCGCGUAGGUGGUUCAGUAAGAUGGGUGUGAAAUCCCCGGGCUUAACCUGGGAACUGCUUUCAUAACUGCUGAGCUAGAGUACGGUAGAGGGUAGUGGAAUUUCCUGUGUAGCGGUGAAAUGCGUAGAUAUAGGAAGGAACACCAGUGGCGAAGGCGACUACCUGGACUGAUACUGACACUGAGGUGCGAAAGCGUGGGGAGCAAAC
This 421-nucleotide ribosomal RNA is filed under the name uncultured bacterium. RNAcentral describes it as "partial 16S ribosomal RNA". It matches the Rfam family "Bacterial small subunit ribosomal RNA", at positions 360 to 773 of the family's 1533-position model. The record is from RNAcentral.